RNAcentral lists this ribosomal RNA (465 nucleotides) under uncultured bacterium. Its description in RNAcentral is "bacterial SSU rRNA". It matches the Rfam family "Bacterial small subunit ribosomal RNA", at positions 338 to 795 of the family's 1533-position model. The record is from RNAcentral.
CCUACGGGCCGCACCAGUGGGGAAUAUUGCACAAUGGGCGCAAGCCUGAUGCUGCCAUGCCGCGUGUAUGAAGAAGGCCUUCGGGUUGUAAAGUACUUUCAGCGGGGAGGAAGGUGUUGUGGUUAAUACCCGCAGCAAUUGACGUUACCCGCAGAAGAAGCACCGGCUAACUCCGCGCCAGCAGCCGCGGUAAUACGGAGGGUGCAAGCGUUAAUCGGAAUUACCGGGCGUAAAGCGCACGCAGGCGGUCUGUCAAGUCGGAUGUGAAAUCCCCGGGCUCAACCUGGGAACUGCAUUCGAAACUGGCAGGCUAGAGUCUUGUAGAGGGGGGUAGAAUUCCAGGUGUAGCGGUGAAAUGCGUAGAGAUCUGGAGGAAUACCGGUGGCGAAGGCGGCCCCCUGGACAAAGACUGACGCUCAGGUGCGAAAGCGUGGGGAGCAAACAGGAUUAGAUACCCGCGUAGUC